GAUGAACGCUGGCGGCGUGCUUAACACAUGCAAGUCGAGCGAAGCACUUUUGCGGAUUUCUUCGGAUUGAAGCAACUGUGACUGAGCGGCGGACGGGUGAGUAACGCGUGGGUAACCUGCCUCAUACAGGGGGAUAACAGUUGGAAACGGCUGCUAAUACCGCACAAGCGCACAGUACCGCAUGGUACGGUGUGAAAAACUCCGGUGGUAUGAGAUGGACCCGCGUCUGAUUAGCUAGUUGGCGAGGUAACGGCCCACCAAGGCGACGAUCAGUAGCCGACCUGAGAGGGUGACCGGCCACAUUGGGACUGAGACACGGCCCAGACUCCUACGGGAGGCAGCAGUGGGGGAUAUUGCACAAUGGAGGAAACUCUGAUGCAGCGACGCCGCGUGAGUGAAGAAGUAUUUCGGUAUGUAAAGCUCUAUCAGCAGGGAAGAAAAUGACGGUACCUGACUAAGAAGCCCCGGCUAACUACGUGCCAGCAGCCGCGGUAAUACGUAGGGGGCAAGCGUUAUCCGGAUUUACUGGGUGUAAAGGGAGCGUAGACGGCGACGCAAGUCUGAAGUGAAAUACCCGGGCUCAACCUGGGAACUGCUUUGGAAACUGUGUUGCUAGAGUGCUGGAGAGGUAAGCGGAAUUCCUAGUGUAGCGGUGAAAUGCGUAGAUAUUAGGAAGAACACCAGUGGCGAAGGCGGCUUACUGGACAGUAACUGACGUUGAGGCUCGAAAGCGUGNGGAGCAAACAGG
RNAcentral lists this ribosomal RNA (748 nucleotides) under uncultured bacterium. RNAcentral describes it as "bacterial SSU rRNA". It matches the Rfam family "Bacterial small subunit ribosomal RNA", at positions 28 to 776 of the family's 1533-position model. The record is from RNAcentral.